UCGCUAAAAGAUGAGCCUGUGGAGGAUUAGGUAGUUGGUGUUGGGUAAAGGCCUACCAAGCCUAUGACCCUUAGCUGUUCUGAGAGGUUGUACAGCCACACUGGGACUGAGACAAGGCCCAGGCUCCAUUCGGAGCCAGCAGUGAGGAAUUUUGGACAAUGAGCGAAAGCUUGAUCCAGCAAUACUACAUGAGUGAAGAAGGCUUUCAAGUUGUAAAACUCUUUGGUUGGGGAGGAUAAUGACAGUACUCAGCAAAAUAGCCCCGGCUAACUUCGUGCCAGCAGCCGCGGUAAGACGAAGGGGGCGAGCGUUAUCCGGAAUGACUGGGCGUAAAGGGUCCGUAGGCAGUAUUUUUUGUUAGAGGUAAAAGAAAAAAGCUCAACUUUUUUUGGCUUCUAAAACGUAAAUGCUUUGAGUUUGAAAGGGGAUAGCAGAAUUUCACAUGGAGGGGUGAUAUCCGUAGAUAUGUGAAGGAAUACCAGAGGCGAAGGCGGCUAUCUAGUUCAAUACUGACGUUGAGGGACGAAAGCAUGGGGAGCAAACAGGAUUAGAUACCCUGGUAGUCCAUGCCCUAAAAGAUGGGUGGUCGUGCUUAGAGAUUUUUAGGCACUUAGUUAACACGUUAAGCACUCCGCCUGGGGAGUACGACCGCAAGGUUGGAACUCAAAGGAAUUGACGGGGGCCUAUACAAGUGGUGGAGCAUGUGGUUUAAUGCGACAAUACGCGCGAAACCUUACCAGUUCUUGACAUAGAAAAGAAAAACUCCGAAAGGAGAAUUUUAAAGAUUUUUACAGGUGCUGCAUGGAUGUCGUCAGCUCGUGUCGUGAGAUGUUAGGUUAACUCUUUUUAACGGGCGAAACCCCUGUUUUUAGUUGCUAUUUAGUGAU
RNAcentral lists this ribosomal RNA (887 nucleotides) under uncultured bacterium. RNAcentral's name for it is "bacterial SSU rRNA". It matches the Rfam family "Bacterial small subunit ribosomal RNA", at positions 215 to 1129 of the family's 1533-position model. The record is from RNAcentral.